Molecule: long non-coding RNA, 562 nt
Organism: Puntigrus tetrazona (Sumatra barb)
Lineage: Eukaryota; Metazoa; Chordata; Actinopteri; Cypriniformes; Cyprinidae
Exons: 3
Source: RefSeq, a predicted model, not a curated record
GCACGUGGGAACUCUUUCGGGGUGGGAGAAAAUCCGCGCAGCUGAAGCCCGAGGCCUCACCUUAAUGAUGGUGCGCCCGUCGCCAUGGUGACCACGGCUGUAAUUUCCUAAUAAAAUGAGCAUUUAAGAGGAGAUCAAGAGUGAAAAUGCUAGCGAUUCCCCUCCGAGACCCUCCGUUUACCUCGGUGCAACAGCUGAUUGAUGCGAGACGACAGCUGCAGGUCACAUGUGUCAUUUCCCUCGUAGUGCCACCGCUAAUGCACUGAAUGCAGCUGUAAUGAGGAUAGCAACAGGCGCUGAUCUCUGCGGCUCACAGCAGACGAGAUGAAACGAGCAGCAGCGGCCUUAAGCUUUCAUGAAAGAGAGACUGCGGUGAGAGAGAUUCAUGCCACUUCAUCAAAGCAAUUACACUACUUCAAAACUAUUUACAACACUUUUUGGUCUGAGGUCCAAGACCACCAACUAUUUAAGACAUUUAGCUGCCUGAAACCAAAUGAGAGGCAGUUGUGUGGAAAAGAAAAUGUUCCAAUUACAAUAUAAAUACUGUAAAAUAUUUAAGGAA